This is a long non-coding RNA of Ostrea edulis (European flat oyster), 1589 nucleotides long. RefSeq lists it as uncharacterized. Lineage: Eukaryota; Metazoa; Mollusca; Bivalvia; Ostreida; Ostreidae. The record is from RefSeq and is a predicted model, not a curated record. The transcript has 4 exons.
AAUAUUUUAGCUGCGUCACACGUACUACCAAUGACAGAAUAUUGACAUACUGUAUGUUCCUUACACGUACAUAUAUAAGUAUAUAACACUGCACAUUAUUUAUACGUCCUUAUAAUAUUUGUGAUUUUUCUGUUUGUUCUGAUAGAUUCGAACCAGAAGGAUGUGUUGCAGUUUCUAUUACAUAUCUGAUUACCUGGAGUAAUCGUUGGGUGUUUGCUAUUUAUUGGAGUUGUAUAUUGCAAUUAUACAUUUGGAAAGCAAGAGAAGAAACAAGAACAAGACAUUCGUCACGGUGCUUCCUAUGGUGGUGAUGUAGAAAACAGAGUUGGCGAUAUUCAUAAUGAAGUGGACCAUACAUAUGGAAAUCCUUUGCACUUAAGCGAGGAAGAGUCAUGCUAUAGUACACUAACACUGAGAGUAAACCGUGGGUCUCUUUACACGUCAAACACUGCAGAAAACUCGGAGACAGUCUCCAUGGAUGACAAUCCUUAUGGUUUUGCUUUCAAUAGAAGAGAUGAGGAAAAGAUGCUAGACAAAAACACCAAUAGUUUCAACGGGAGGAAUGAUGCUUCGGGAAAUGAAAUGAUGCAAGGAAUUAGUGAAGACAGUUGCUAUGCUUAUAAUUCCCUUUUACGUUACUACUCAAUUCGUCGGUUUGACUUAACGCCAGAUGACGCAAAUGUACACUUGUGUUGUCUGAAACUGAAAUGGACAACAAAUCAUAUCAACAGAAACUGGUAACUUCGAAAAGACAAAGGGAAGUAACUCUUGGGGAACUCGGAACUUCCGUAUUAAACACCACGAGUGAACAAUAGUGAAAAACCUGUAAAAAUUACUAUAAUGAGUGGUUUUCAAAGGACAUUAUUACUUCACAAGUUGGCACAACAUUAUCUUGCACAUCAAGUACCCAAUUAUGAAAACAUCUAAACACUUUUAAAAGUACUUGUUUCACCCGGCAAGUUACAAAUUGUCAAAUUUACAUUUUAAACAAAACAAUCCUUUCAAAAGCAAUUCAUUUAUCCAGGCUCCGAACAACAUACAGUUAUUUGAGAUAUAAAGUGUAUUCUCAUCACUAUACUUUUUGUGUUAGACUUAUGAAUAAGCUGAAGUACGGUUGUAAUAUCCAAGAAUGUAAAAGAUGUUGAAGACUGGUUUUUUAUUCCAAGUUCACAGGAAUAUAUCACAUUGAGUAUGAAUGAAAAUGAGUAUUUUUAAUAGAUAAAACGCCGUCGAUAUAUUGAAAGAAUAAAAGGUAACACAAAAUUAAAACGUUAGCGCUUAUUUAGUGAUUUCUGUCAAAAAGAUUGAAAUGUGCAUCCAUUGCAAAAAGCAAUGAACAGGAAUUGCUUAACGACAUCAAAGAAUACACCCGAAGAUUAAGAUUAGCUGAAUUGUUUCAUAGUGAAGGUAGCGAUGAUGAUAUUCCUGAAGAAAAGGAUCUUCUCCGAAAUAAAUCUAAGUUCAACCCUAAGAAAGGCCGGAACAACACAUUAGACGCGGUGUGUGAAACUCGAAAAACUUUACCACUUGAUUCCACAAAUAGUGACAAAUUAAAACAGAAUUUAACCAUAGGUAAGGAGAAAGCCUUG